AUGUGGCUCCCGAACGGUUAAAUUAUGAACAUCCUCAAAAUACCUUCGUGGUCAUUAGAGCAAAUACAUUUAUACAAGUUUAGAAUCUUAGGAUUAGAAUAAAAUACUAGCGUAAUAGCUAAAAAAAGUUAAAUAAAAAGAUUAAAUAGAAAUAUUAAAUUAUCUUAUAUGACAAAGAACAACCCAAAGUUUUAAAUUCACAAUUCAAUAAUAAUUUAAUGCGAUUUAAAUUGUUUAUGUAGUUUUCUAAGAUGUUUAUUUAUGUAAAUGCUGUGUGUGUGCUGCGGGUGCUGCCCCUUUAAAUCCGUUGAAGUGACUUCAGUUACCAUGGAAACGAGGCUACUAGGAACAACAGAAAGCGGCAAAGCUCCGCGUUUCUUAUGGUUUUCUUCACUUUUUCAGGAGUGACAAAAUAACCCCUCUAUAAUAAAAAAAAGCUCAAGAUUUCAGCAUUUUCGAAGGGAGCUGCUGACAGAGAUGUUGAAAACUCAGAUUUGUCCAUGCAGCAGAGUUGAAUCAAACCUGUCAGAAAACAUCUCUAAGGGGCUAUGUAUGAACCAUAUGGCUAGAUACCCAUACGGGUUACAGAAGCUCCAGUAUGGAUCCAGCCUCACUUGUAAAGACUUCAGAUGACGCCUACACUCUCAGAGACUUCAGAUGAUGGCAACUGGAUGGACAUACAAAACUGCCAAACAUUAUAUAUAUAUUGCAAUCACUGCCUCAAAGCAUAAGUUUGCAGAUUUUCAACCCACUUUAUAUUUUUACAAUAAAUUGGGGUAUUUGAAUGGACAAUGUUUACGCUUUUUUUCUUGAGUUAAACUUAAAUUCCCAAUUAGUUCUUGACAAUACUCUGCCAGAUGACAGAUUACAUAUAUUACAGACAUUGUAACAAUACAAAGUGGGUUGGAAGUCUGUAAACUUCCUCUAUAAUCAUAAUUGUCUGUUUAACUGAGCAUGACGUGAAACAUAUGUGAACAUAUGAACAUUACUUUGUUACUUAAUGAGAUAAAUGCUUAUCUCUAGGUUCACAGACAAGGCUUAAGCCUAUAGUCCUAGACUAAGACACAUGUUUGAGCUGUCUCAAUUGAAAAGAACUUUCAAUGCGAGAUUUUAAAAUAAACCAGUGCCAGUGAUUUUUCUUAAGAUGGACACUAGUAACAAUUUUUUCUAAGGCAUGUUUAUUAAAGAUAUUUAAACAUCUUAAUUUAACUAAGGCAUAGUCUAGCUUUAGCUAAGCCUUGCAAAAACGUUUAGAUUACGUUAUCAAAACGUUUUUGCAACGUUGUGAAAAUGCGUAUUUAUAACGUUCAAAAAACCCGACAUUUGGUCAUAUUAAGUACGUCGGAAAAUAACGUUAUCACAAUCUUUUCACAACGUGAAAAAAACGUUUUUAUAACGUUUUUGUGUUUGCUGGGAUGGUACAGUGCUUUAUAUAGAUUAAUGGUAUAUGGUACAGUCUUCUUUAGCUUAAAGGUAAAUAUAACAGUGAAUGAAGAUAAUUCUUAAACUGUGUUUAGAUGUAGUUUAAUAUAGUUUAGAGUAUCAGUGAAGCAAGUUUGAGAGAUUUCUACAUAAAAUCUAUAAUGUAAAAAAUAUAAUCUUGAUAUCUUUAAUAAGGUAACAUUUUUAAAUAAGUUCUAUCUCUAUUUACAGUUGUAUUAUGCCACAUUUAACCUCCUAAGACCUGGAUGUCACAUAUGUGGACAUCAAUGUUUUUGUUGUUUGCACCAUAAUACUUAAUUCUGUGUAACUGGAACCUAUUAUACACAAACAUGGACAAAUACACUGCUUCAUGUUCAUAGAAAAAUAUUUGGUUAUUAUAUUAAUUGGUUCCCAAAAAUAGCUGGUAGAAAUCUGAAAAAAAAGACAAAUCAAAGCUCGGUCUUAGGAGGUUAAUUUAGGCUUCAUGUUAUCUGACCAAAGAUAGGAGAUUGUUGCAUAAAUUGGUUUGGGGCAGAAAAUAUAAUUUUGGUAUUGGAAACAUUUUUUAAGAUCUUUUCCUCUCAUCUCAUACAGGAUUUUGUCCACCAUCAUGACCCUUUAGUCUCUGUGGUGGUUCUUCAUCAGUCAAAUGUCCUUUAAUGUUUUUGGGAAUUAAUAUUAAGUAGUGUUUAGUGAAUUUAACCCUGCAGUAAACCCAGCAAUAUGUAACUCUGUUGAUGCUUUAACUGCUGUAAGGGAUGAGGGAUUAUUAUCUAACUUAAUGUCUGUUUUUGACUGACUGCCAGUGUUUAACUUUUUGAUAUGCCUGAAGGAUUUUGAACAAUGAAAAAACCUUUCGUAUGUAUCAUGCAUUAAAAUAUAUGACCUUUGAUGCUUUUUAAUGAUUUAAAUAAAAUCUCCAUACAAUCUGAGCAUGUCUGUGUUUUACUCUCGACUAAUACUCUUUUCUUUUAACAUUACUGGUAAUUGACAUAGCGCCAUCUAGUGGUUGUAAAUGAAUAACACAAUAGGUCUAAAUAUAUGAAUACAAAAUAGCAUCUAUACAUACUGUAAAAUACAUUUUAAAAAGUAGUAAUAAGCUAAAUAAGACAUAUUAAAGAGUUUUGAUAUGAUAUUCAUAUAUAUCUACAAUAAAAAGUCCAAAAGUUGUUAAUAGUUUUAAUUAAACAACACAGGGGACAUAACAAAAAUAAAAAAAACUCAUCAGAGUUGAGCCGUAAUUACAGAACAAUCACUGAACUCAAUGACAUCUAUAUAUAACUCGCCGUUGUCAUGGAACCAUUAUGACAUCACAUAACAUUAUGACAUCACAUAAUGGUUAUAAAAGGGCUCAGCCAGAUGAGACCGGUAUCAUUUGGCUGAUCUGAACGCUUGCCUUUGGUUGACUCUGAACGCUACUGUACAGAUUACCAAGUGAAUUUUGCAGACUUUCAAAAAGUUCGCAGCUUUAAACUGCUUGACGCACUGUGUACAGACAGACAGUUUACUUAGAUUUCAACCCUCUGUGAACCGAGUCUAAGCACAGUUAAGUCUGCAGUUAUCUUUUCACAUCAUGUUUCGUCCUGUAACACCAUUGUCCGACAAGGACAUGGAAGGAGCAGAUGUUGAAAAUAUGGAUUUUAUUCUGCCGAAUGCUGUGCCGAACUUUGACUAUGUCCUUGAUAUCGGACUUUCGUCACAAGUCGGGCGCGCUGCCGGUUGUUUAAAUCCAUUUGAAGGAGAAGAGGAGGAGGAGGAGAUGGUGGAUGUUUAUCCAACACAUGAGGCGAAACGCCAAAGAGUGUUUGGAGGAGAUAUGGAUUCAUUCCUACCGAAUGCUGUGUUGACCUAUGACUUUGUCCCUGACAUCGGACUUUCGUCAGAGGUCGGAUGCGCUGCCGGGGGUUUGAAUCCAAGUGGAGGAGGAGAGGAGAAAAUCCCAACAA
Molecule: non-coding RNA, 3368 nt
Organism: Misgurnus anguillicaudatus (oriental weatherfish)
Lineage: Eukaryota; Metazoa; Chordata; Actinopteri; Cypriniformes; Cobitidae
Source: RefSeq, a predicted model, not a curated record